Molecule: ribosomal RNA, 263 nt
Filed under: uncultured Alphaproteobacteria bacterium
Lineage: Bacteria; Pseudomonadati; Pseudomonadota; Alphaproteobacteria
Description: partial 16S ribosomal RNA
Rfam family: Bacterial small subunit ribosomal RNA
Source: RNAcentral
AGGACUCUAGCGAAACUGCCGGUGAUAAGCCGGAGGAAGGUGGGGAUGACGUCAAGUCCUCAUGGCCCUUACACGCUGGGCUACACACGUGCUACAAUGGUAACUACAACGGGACGCAAUACCGCGAGGUGGAGCAAAUCCCAAAAAGUUAUCUCAGUUCGGAUUGCACUCUGCAACUCGAGUGCAUGAAGUUGGAAUUGCUAGUAAUCGCGGAUCAACAUGCCGCGGUGAAUACGUUCCCGGGUCUUGUACACACCGCCCGU